GAUGAAGAACGCAGCGAAAUGCGAUAAGUAGUGUGAAUUGCAGAAUUCCGUGAAUCAUCGAAUCUUUGAACGCACAUUGCGCCCGCGAGUAUUCUCGCGGGCAUGCCUGUCCGAGCGUCAUUUCAACCCUCAGGGCCCGCCUGCUUGCAGGCGCGGCGCUGGUGUUGGGGAUCGGCUACCCUGCCGUCCCCCAAAUACAGUGGCGGUCUCGCUGCAGCCUCCCCUGCGUAGUAGCAACACUCGCAUGCGGAGCGCGGCGCGGCCACGCCGUAAAACCCCCGACUUUCUGAACGUUGACCUCGGAUCAGGUAGGAAUACCCGCUGAACUUAAGCAUAUCAAUAAGCGGAGGA
This 351-nucleotide unclassified non-coding RNA is filed under the name soil metagenome. RNAcentral describes it as "partial contains 5.8S ribosomal RNA, internal transcribed spacer 2, and large subunit ribosomal RNA". The stretch from base 1 to 120 matches the Rfam family "5.8S ribosomal RNA", at positions 35 to 154 of the family's 154-position model. The record is from RNAcentral.